Molecule: long non-coding RNA, 540 nt
Filed under: Marmota monax (woodchuck)
Lineage: Eukaryota; Metazoa; Chordata; Mammalia; Rodentia; Sciuridae
Source: RNAcentral
CUUUCCCUAAAUCCCUUCAGGCCACAGGCAACGGAAUCUGCCUGUGUAUGGUGGGUAAAAGAAGAUCCAUCUCUGCCUAGGUUUUCAAAACUGCCUGGAGGCAUCGUGUAUUAACUCUGUUAUCCCCAAGGGGAAAUUGGUGUCCCAAGAAGAACACUGGCUUUCCAGAGAAGUUCUGUGUGUGCACGUGAGCAUGGGAUCUCUUAUGCUGCCAUCUGAGACUAGUGGGUCUGUUGAGCUUCAGAUGGCCCAGAGCUGAUUUUCCUGGCACAGUGUUCAGUUUCCCCUUUGCCCACUCUGUUGCCAAGUCCCUGCUCAGAGUUGGGCAGCUGAGCUUUCAUUUGAUUCUGCCAGACACCCAAGGCCCAACCCCUCAUUCAUGUAGAGUCACCCUUAGCUGGUCUGGGGCCAUGGAAGAGCCGCACUGAUCCUUCCCCUCUUACUUAUGUGCCUCUUUGUAUAGAGGCAUGGGAUUUGCUGUGGUGUUCCAUGCCUGCCUAUGGCCAGGAAGAACUGGGAGGAGAGUCAUCUAAAUUCUUG